ACGGCUCAGUAACACGUAGCUAACCCUGCCCUCCAGGAUGGGAAUAACCCCGGGAAACUGGGGCUAAUACCCAAUAGGUGGUAGUAUCUGGAAUGAUCAUCCGCUGAAAAGACGUUAGAAACAUGCUUCUAACGUUGCCUUUAGGAUGGAGCUGCGGCCGAUCAGGUUGUUGGUAGGGUAACGGCCUACCAAGCCUACAACCGGUACGGGCCCUGAGAGGGGGAGCCCGGAGAUGGGAACUGAGACAAGGUCCCAGGUCCUACGGGGCGCAGCAGGCGCGAAAACUCCACAAUGCACAAACGUGUGAUGGGGUCAUCCCGAGUGCCGUCCGAUGAGGAUGGCUUUUUCCUAGUGUAAGGAACUGGGGGAAUAAAGGGGGGGCAAGCCUGGUGUCAGCCGCCGCGGUAAUACCAGCCCCCUGAGUGGUAUGGACGAUUAUUUGGCCUAAAGCGUCCGUAGCCGGCUUAGUAAGUCUUUCGUCAAAUCUAACGAUUCAAUCGUUAGGCCGCGGAAGACACUGCUGGGCUAGAGGAUGGGAGAGGUCGACGGUAGUCCUGGGGGUAGGGGUGAAAUCCUAUAAUCCCAGGAGGACCACCAGUGGCGAAGGCGGUCGACUAGAACAUGCCUGACGGUGAUGGACGAAAGCUGGGGGAGCGAACCGGAUUAGACACCCGGGUAGUCCCAGCUGUAAACGAUGCGGGCUAAGGUGUUGGGGCAGCCAUGAGCUGCUCCAGUGCCGCAGAGAAGUUGUUAAGCCCGCCGCCUGGGAAGUACGGCCGCAAGGCUGAAACUUAAAGGAAUUGUGCGGGGG
Molecule: ribosomal RNA, 811 nt
Filed under: uncultured archaeon
Lineage: Archaea
Description: bacterial SSU rRNA
Rfam family: Archaeal small subunit ribosomal RNA
Source: RNAcentral